This 468-nucleotide ribosomal RNA is filed under the name uncultured bacterium. Its description in RNAcentral is "bacterial SSU rRNA". It matches the Rfam family "Bacterial small subunit ribosomal RNA", at positions 29 to 490 of the family's 1533-position model. The record is from RNAcentral.
AUUGAACGCUGGCGGCAUGCUUUACACAUGCAAGUCGAGCGGCAGCGCGGGGGGCAACCCUGGCGGCGAGCGGCGAACGGGUGAGUAAUGCAUCGGAACGUAUCCUGUAGUGGGGAAUAACUCACCGAAAGGUGAGCUAAUACCGCAUAAGCUCUGAGGAGGAAAGCGGGGGACCGAAAGGCCUCGCGCUGCAGGAGCGGCCGAUGUCCGAUUAGCUAGUUGGUGAGGUAAAGGCUCACCAAGGCGACGAUCGGUAGCUGGUCUGAGAGGAUGAUCAGCCACACUGGGACUGAGACACGGCCCAGACUCCUACGGGAGGCAGCAGUGGGGAAUUUUGGACAAUGGGGGAAACCCUGAUCCAGCCAUGCCGCGUGAGUGAAGAAGGCCUUCGGGUUGUAAGACUCUUCGUACGGAACGAAUUAGCUUGGUACUAAUACUCUGAGUAGAUGACGGUACCGUAAGAAGAAG